This 925-nucleotide long non-coding RNA is filed under the name Callithrix jacchus (white-tufted-ear marmoset). Its description in RNAcentral is "lncRNA (ENSCJAG00000063222.2)". Lineage: Eukaryota; Metazoa; Chordata; Mammalia; Primates; Cebidae. The record is from RNAcentral.
CCUGAGGUGGGGGCUGUGGGUACCCUGCUGGGCCCUGGGGCUGCAGUAGGCGGGAAGGAGUGCAGACCUGAGGUAGGCUGCUCACUCAGAGUUGGAGCUUUGCUUGACACGGUUCCCAUGGGGACGGCUGUGGGCACACGCUACCUGUGGUCAGAUGCCCACAUUAAACCUGCCCUGUAGUUCUGGUAGCUCCUCUUGGGCUCAGGGCCUUUAGAAGAAAGACUGAGUUUUUGGUGCCUUAGCCUCUCAAACCUUCCCCACCCCAACCAAAGGUAGAUUUGAGAACUUGGGGCUGUGAUGUUUGUUUCAUGAAUAGAGCAUUCCCUCUGUGCCUGUGCCUAGAGACACUAAGAUGACUGAAAUGCAGUCACCAUCCUUAGGGAGGGGCAAGAAAGACAGGCCAUAGAGCUGAAAAUUACAACACAGUGCAGCCUGGCAACAGUGGAACCCAGUUCACUUGUGGAGAACACACAUGCUGCAGUAUCACGAGGCCCAUGAAGUGACUAGGCUGAGCCAACCACCCAGGAUGAGAGCCAAUGCCAACUCCUGUCUGUGCUGUGAGCUCCUUGCACAUGGUCAGUGCUGAGAUCCAUCAGCUCUGGGAAAAUUUCAGAGUAGGAGGGAGCAGCACUCCACGCAGAGGAAGGGGUUCCUGAAAACACUGGAUGCAAGAACAUUCCCCAUGAAGUCACAGCGUGUGAGGGUAGCUGGGCACACCUGAGGUGCAUCAGUGAGCAGCGAGCACACCAGAGUCGACAUCUCCUGCAUUUUCAGCAGCAGAAGGGAGUGCAGCCUACUUCACCAGUCUGCUUGCCACCGAACACUUGGCUGUUAAAAAAGAGCCCUUUAAAACCGUUUGAUGUUUUGGACUAAAUAAAGCUAUGCUCCCACUCCAAUUGAGCUUAUAAUGGAGUCUAAUUUUAUA